CUGUCUGACCGCCGCCAUCAUGGGUCGCAUGCAUGCUCCCGGGAAGGGCCUGUCCCAGUCGGCUUUGCCCUAUCGACGCAGCGUCCCCACUUGGUUGAAGUUGACAUCUGACGACGUGAAGGAGAUUUACAAACUGGCCAAGAAGGGCCUGACUCCUUCACAAAUCGGUGUGAUCCUGAGAGAUUCACAUGGUGUUGCACAAGUAUGUUUUGUGACAGGCAAUAAAAUCUUAAGAAUUCUUAAGUCUAAGGGACUUGCUCCUGAUCUUCCUGAAGAUCUCUACCAUUUAACUAAGAAAGCAGUUGCUGUUCGAAAGCAUCUUGAGAGGAACAGAAAGGAUAAGGAUGCUAAAUUCCGUCUGAUUCUGAUAGAGAGCCGGAUUCACCGUUUGGCUCGAUAUUAUAAGACCAAGCGAGUCCUCCCUCCCAAUUGGAAAUAUGAAUCAUCUACAGCCUCUGCCCUGGUCACAUAAAUUUGUCUGUGUACUCAAGCAAUAAAAUGAUUGUUUAACUUAAAAAAAAA
This is an RNA transcript of Rhinopithecus roxellana (golden snub-nosed monkey), 522 nucleotides long. It is a transcript of the gene named 40S ribosomal protein S13 pseudogene, with no coding region annotated. Lineage: Eukaryota; Metazoa; Chordata; Mammalia; Primates; Cercopithecidae. The transcript has a single exon. The record is from RefSeq and is a predicted model, not a curated record.